GACGAACGCUGGCGGCGUGCUUAACACAUGCAAGUCGAACGGAAAGGCCCUGCUUUUGUGGGGUGCUCGAGUGGCGAACGGGUGAGUAACACGUGAGUAACCUGCCCUUGACUUUGGGAUAACUUCAGGAAACUGGGGCUAAUACCGGAUAGGAGCUCCUGCUGCAUGGUGGGGGUUGGAAAGUUUCGGCGGUUGGGGAUGGACUCGCGGCUUAUCAGCUUGUUGGUGGGGUAGUGGCUUACCAAGGCUUUGACGGGUAGCCGGCCUGAGAGGGUGACCGGCCACAUUGGGACUGGGAUACGGCCCAGACUCCUACGGGAGGCAGCAGUGGGGAAUAUUGCACAAUGGGCGGAAGCCUGAUGCAGCAACGCCGCGUGCGGAAUGACGGCCUUCGGGUUGUAAACCGCUUUCGCCUGUGACGAAGCGUGAGUGACGGUACUGGGUAAAGAAGCACCGGCUAACUACGU
RNAcentral lists this ribosomal RNA (467 nucleotides) under uncultured bacterium. RNAcentral describes it as "partial 16S ribosomal RNA". It matches the Rfam family "Bacterial small subunit ribosomal RNA", at positions 28 to 506 of the family's 1533-position model. The record is from RNAcentral.